AAUAGAUAACGCCGUUGACUUUUUCUUAUGUUUGACCAUUCGUCUUAUUCAAAAAAUUUACAUAAUUAUAAUUUUUUUUAUAAGUUGUUUUAUCACUCAUAGUACUUUAAGUGUGAUUUAUAUCUUAUACAUUUGCAUAAAAUUUUUGAAUAAGACGAAUGGUUAAACAUGUGAGAAAAAGUCAACGGCGUCAUCUAUU
Oryza sativa Japonica Group (Japanese rice) is the source of this 199-nucleotide microRNA precursor. It matches the Rfam family "MIR812 microRNA precursor family". The record is from Rfam. NCBI's taxonomy places the organism in Eukaryota, Viridiplantae, Streptophyta, Magnoliopsida, Poales, Poaceae.